RNAcentral lists this transfer RNA (72 nucleotides) under Pseudopus apodus (scheltopusik). Its description in RNAcentral is "tRNA-Ile". It matches the Rfam family "tRNA". From Rfam's summary of the family: Transfer RNA (tRNA) molecules are approximately 80 nucleotides in length. Lineage: Eukaryota; Metazoa; Chordata; Lepidosauria; Squamata; Anguidae. The record is from RNAcentral.
GGAAGCGUGCCCGAAUCAUAAAGGAUUACCUUGAUAGAGUAAACAACAGGGGUUUAAACCCCCUCGUUUCCC